ACGUGUCAUGCGACGGUGAAGAGGUUGGGUGAGGACGACACGUGUUGCAUCGUUAUCAAGAGCCACAAUACCCGCAAGGCUUAAGAGGUGAGGGUGAUCAAAAAAUCGUAUAAAAGGAGAGAGGAAAGGCGUUUGAAAUCAGUUGAGUGAGCAUCUCCGACACGGCAACAACUGCUGUGCACUAUUUGUCACCAACUGGAUUCUUCAUUGUGUAAUUAGUUCGCAAUCAUGGUUGUAUCAAAGGAGAGAAAAGACUAAAUAAUCAGUCGAGUGAUUACCUGCGACACGAUAACAACUGCAUCCUUCGUCGCAUUACCAGUUAACAAUCACAGUAAACUAUGGUGUCAUGCUGCACUGCUGCUGUUGGUUGUUGUAUCGUUUAUGGCUGGUGACGACCACUGGUGUACCGAUGUCUUCUGGGUAUGGUGAAUAUUAAUGCACAACACUGCCGCCUUAUUACUCAACAUCAACCAACGCUGUUCCAGCUUACUACACCAGGACUCUAAAGUACUACACCACCAAGGCUCCAGAGUAUUAAAAGUUGUAUCAAAGGAGAAAAGAGGCGCAAUAAUCAAUCGAUUUAUCCCCGACACGACAGCAACUGCCGUGCACUAUUUGUUACCAACUGCAUUCAUCAUCGUAUAUAGGGACCCAUCCCCAGCAACGUCAACCUGCAGAAGGAAAGGCUAGUUUGUAUGUCCUUU
Daphnia pulex (common water flea) is the source of this 704-nucleotide long non-coding RNA. RefSeq lists it as uncharacterized. Lineage: Eukaryota; Metazoa; Arthropoda; Branchiopoda; Diplostraca; Daphniidae. The record is from RefSeq and is a predicted model, not a curated record. The transcript is spliced from 4 exons.